AAGGAGUCUAAGACUAACGCGAGUAUGUUGGUGGAAAAACCAACAUGCGAAAUGAAAGUAAUUGAUGCCAAGCGCUAGCAGCAGCAUCGACCGACUUUAAAUACCCAUUAAGGUUUGAGUGAGAGCGUUAUUCUUAGGACCCGAAAGAUGGUGAACUAUGCCUGAGUAGGGUGCAGUGAGGGGAAUACGCAGAGAAUAGAUGUUGGGAACAGAAAGAUGGUGAACUAUGACUGGACAGGUGGAAGUCAGGGGAAACCCUGAUGGAGGACCGUAGCGAGUCGGACGUGCAAAUCGAUCGUCGGAGCUGGGUAUAGGGGCGAAAGACUAAUCGAACAAUCUAGUAGCUGGUUCCUG
Molecule: small RNA, 354 nt
Filed under: uncultured fungus
Lineage: Eukaryota; Fungi
Description: eukaryotic LSU rRNA
Rfam family: Eukaryotic large subunit ribosomal RNA
Source: RNAcentral